RNAcentral lists this long non-coding RNA (1539 nucleotides) under Anser brachyrhynchus (Pink-footed goose). RNAcentral's name for it is "lncRNA (ENSABRG00000006582.1)". The record is from RNAcentral. Lineage: Eukaryota; Metazoa; Chordata; Aves; Anseriformes; Anatidae.
GAAAUGCUAAUUAUGCUGACGGUGUGGCCUCUGUUCCUGGGCUUCAGCGGAUUCCCGCAGCGCUGCCCUGCUCCCGAGCGGGGCCGCGUCUCCCUCCCGGCCUCCGCGGGGCUGAGCCCACGCAGCGCUUUCUCUGCGAGCCCCGUUCGGGCCCUUCAAGGAAGAGGGAGCCUCUUGUACCCUGACCCUACAGGCACGGCUUCUCGGCACGAGCAGGACGCUUGGCUUGCCGCCGCCAGCUCCUCUCCGAGCCCUCAGCUCGCUCCUCUCCUUCCCCGGCUUCUGCGCUCGCCCAGCGGCUCCCGCUCGCAGCGGGGCUGGUUGGGGGCUCCGUCCUGCGGGGUCCCGGGCGAUGCUGCGGGGAGACAGCGGGCAGCCGGGGCUGGGCCCAGCGGUGUCUCCCCCACCCCCCCCGCCUUAUGGGGCCGGGCCCGUCCCCUCCCACCGCGGCCCCGCGCGUGGAGCCAAGUUCAAACCGUGAGCCCCAGCGCGGCGGCGGAGCGGGACGCAGCGGGGGGCCGGGCUGGGGGCCCCCAGUGCCUGCGCGGCUCCAUGAUUCUCCCCAGGGCCCUUUCCUGCGCUGUGCUGCUGCUCCUGCUCGUCGCCGUGCUGGGCCGGGGCAAGAGGUGCAGCAUCGCCAAAAUCCUGCGGCAGUACCGCGCCGUCAUCUUCCACGAGAUCCAGAACCUGAAAAACCUGAGCGGCUCAGCGGAGAGGAGCAGCCGGGCAGGGCUGGCUUGCCGUUCGGACAAGGACCAGAAGAUCCUGCUGGCCAUCUACAACAUCAGCAUGUCCCUGCGGGACGUGGCGGGCGGCACCCUGCGUGGCCCCGAGGAGGUGGCGGUGUGGAAGGUGGCCAGGAACACCGAGUUCGUGCUCAGGGAGAACUGCAGGAAAAUCGGCAAGAGCCCACCCCGUGCCCCGGCACAGCCCCGCCGCAGGAGGAAGCAGCUGAAGGAGAUCGCGAGGAAGGCGCAGCGGCUGGCGACGUGCUGGGAGAAGCUCUACGCCCUGCACGUGCCCCAGCGGGGCUCCUAGGCUGCCUCGGGGACCUCCCCUCACCUCGUCCCCGCGGCCAGCGGGACCGCAGAGGCGCGCGCUCUGGUUUCGUGGCUGACGGCGCCUUGUUUCGGGACCUGGGGGAAAUUCAACCCCGAAGCCGGCUGAGGGGGUACCAGGGGGUGCCCGAAUUUAAUUCGUCCUCUUGUUCCAAGCGGUGCCCCAGGGACUGGCCCCGCUGCACGGGGUGGGUGCUGUAGGGUGGCUGCAGCAGCCAGCUGGGCAACCCCAGGCUGGGGGGAAGAAGAAGGGGAAGCACAGAAAAAAAGAGGAGAGAGAGACGUGGAUUUCUGUGAUGCUCCUGACCCUGCAUCACCUGCUGCUUUUUUGGGGGACAAUGGUUGCUUUUCUGGACCCAAAGAGGACAAACCGGGCCACGGGGCUGAGGCUUCUGCUGGCACUGGACUUCUACGCACCCACAGGUGGCUGAGGGUGCCCAGGGUGCCUGCAGGGUGCCAGCGUGAGCCGCUGCCCUGGCAC